This 1492-nucleotide ribosomal RNA is filed under the name uncultured bacterium. RNAcentral's name for it is "bacterial SSU rRNA". It matches the Rfam family "Bacterial small subunit ribosomal RNA". The record is from RNAcentral.
GAGAGUUUGAUCCUGGCUCAGGAUGAACGCUAGCUACAGGCUUAACACAUGCAAGUCGAGGGGCAGCAUUUUAGUUUGCUUGCAAACUAAAGAUGGCGACCGGCGCACGGGUGAGUAACACGUAUCCAACCUGCCGAUAACUCGGGGAUAGCCUUUCGAAAGAAAGAUUAAUAUCCGAUGGUAUAUUAAAACCGCAUGGUUUUACUAUUAAAGAAUUUCGGUUAUCGAUGGGGAUGCGUUCCAUUAGUUUGUUGGCGGGGUAACGGCCCACCAAGACUACGAUGGAUAGGGGUUCUGAGAGGAAGGUCCCCCACAUUGGAACUGAGACACGGUCCAAACCCCUACGGGAGGCAGCAGUGAGGAAUAUUGGUCAAUGGACGAGAGUCUGAACCAGCCAAGUAGCGUGAAGGAUGACUGCCCUAUGGGUUGUAAACUUCUUUUAUAUGGGAAUAAAGUUUUCCACGUGUGGAAUUUUGUAUGUACCAUAUGAAUAAGGAUCGGCUAACUCCGUGCCAGCAGCCGCGGUAAUACGGAGGAUCCGAGCGUUAUCCGGAUUUAUUGGGUUUAAAGGGAGCGUAGGUGGAUUGUUAAGUCAGUUGUGAAAGUUUGCGGCUCAACUGUAAAAUUGCAGUUGAAACUGGCAGUCUUGAGUACAGUAGAGGUGGGCGGAAUUCGUGGUGUAGCGGUGAAAUGCUUAGAUAUCACGAAGAACUCCGAUUGCGAAGGCAGCUCACUAGACUGCAACUGACACUGAUGCUCGAAAGUGUGGGUAUCAAACAGGAUUAGAUACCCUGGUAGUCCACACAGUAAACGAUGAAUACUCGCUGUUUGCGAUAUACAGUAAGCGGCCAAGCGAAAGCAUUAAGUAUUCCACCUGGGGAGUACGCCGGCAACGGUGAAACUCAAAGGAAUUGACGGGGGCCCGCACAAGCGGAGGAACAUGUGGUUUAAUUCGAUGAUACGCGAGGAACCUUACCCGGGCUUAAAUUGCAUUUGAAUAAUCUGGAAACAGGUUAGCCGCAAGGCAAAUGUGAAGGUGCUGCAUGGUUGUCGUCAGCUCGUGCCGUGAGGUGUCGGCUUAAGUGCCAUAACGAGCGCAACCCUUAUCUUUAGUUACUAACAGGUUAUGCUGAGGACUCUAGAGAGACUGCCGUCGUAAGAUGUGAGGAAGGUGGGGAUGACGUCAAAUCAGCACGGCCCUUACGUCCGGGGCUACACACGUGUUACAAUGGGGGGUACAGAAGGCAGCUACCUGGUGACAGGAUGCUAAUCCCAAAAACCUCUCUCAGUUCGGAUCGAAGUCUGCAACCCGACUUCGUGAAGCUGGAUUCGCUAGUAAUCGCGCAUCAGCCAUGGCGCGGUGAAUACGUUCCCGGGCCUUGUACACACCGCCCGUCAAGCCAUGAAAGCCGGGGGUACCUGAAGUACGUAACCGCAAGGAGCGUCCUAGGGUAAAACUGGUAAUUGGGGCUAAGUCGUAACAAGGUAGCCG